This 222-nucleotide ribosomal RNA is filed under the name uncultured bacterium. RNAcentral's name for it is "partial 16S ribosomal RNA". It matches the Rfam family "Bacterial small subunit ribosomal RNA", at positions 328 to 539 of the family's 1533-position model. The record is from RNAcentral.
ACGCUCGACACCUACGGGAGGCAGCAGUAGGGAAUUUUCGGCAAUGGGGGGAACCCUGACCGAGCAACGCCGCGUGAAGGAAGAAGGAAUUCGUUCUGUAAACUUCUGUUAUAAAGGAAGAACGGCGGAUAUAGGGAAUGAUAUCCGAGUGACGGUACUUUAUGAGAAAGCCACGGCUAACUACGUGCAAGAGCCGCGGUAAUCUGAGCGGGCUGGCAAGGC